CCUACGGGAGGCAGCAGUGGGGAAUCUUCCGCAAUGGGCGAAAGCCUGACGGAGCAACGCCGCGUGAUCGAAUGAAGGCCUUCGGGUUGUAAAGAUCUGUUGACAGGGACGAAUAAGCAAUGCGAAUAGUUUUUUGUAUGACGGUACCUGUUUAGAAAGCUCCGGCUAACUACCUGCCAGCAGCCGCGGUAAUACGGAGGGAGCAAGCGUUUUCCGGAAUUACUGGGCGUAAAGGGCGCGUAGGUGGGCGCGUAAGUCAUGUGUGAAAACUUCGGGCUCAACCUGGAGACUGCAGUGGAAACUGGGUGUCUUGAGGGCAGGAGAGGAAAGUGGAAUGACUAGUGUAGCGGUGAAAUGCGGAGAUAUUAGGCGGAACACCAGUGGCGAAGGCGACUUUCUGGACUGUACCUGACGCUGAGGCGCGAAAGCGUGGGUAGCGAACGGGAUUAGAUACCCGAGUAGUC
Molecule: ribosomal RNA, 464 nt
Filed under: uncultured bacterium
Lineage: Bacteria
Description: partial 16S ribosomal RNA
Rfam family: Bacterial small subunit ribosomal RNA
Source: RNAcentral